Molecule: non-coding RNA, 182 nt
Filed under: Nitrosomonas mobilis
Lineage: Bacteria; Pseudomonadati; Pseudomonadota; Betaproteobacteria; Nitrosomonadales; Nitrosomonadaceae
Description: Nitrosococcus mobilis 6S / SsrS RNA
Rfam family: 6S / SsrS RNA
About the family: E. coli 6S RNA was the first non coding RNA to be sequenced, but its function was unknown until recently. It consists of 184 nucleotides that fold into an extended hairpin structure with a large single-stranded internal bulge.
Source: Rfam by way of RNAcentral
UUAUCCCUGCGGUGUUGGUUAAGGUCUGUAUUCUUUGAACCAAUUUUUGUACCGGGUUGCUGACCAGAUGGCUGCUGUUGUGAGCAUCUUGCAUUAACGAGAUGCACCUGAUGCAACCGGUUGGCGACCAUCUUGAACCAUCAGGUUCAAGAUAUCAGCCUGACGGCAUUCGCGGGGACCCU